RNAcentral lists this non-coding RNA (30 nucleotides) under Rattus norvegicus (Norway rat). The record is from RNAcentral. Lineage: Eukaryota; Metazoa; Chordata; Mammalia; Rodentia; Muridae.
UUAAAAUUGAUGCAGUGCAAAUAUGUCUGG